UGGGGAAUAUUGCACAAUGGGCGAAAGCCUGAUGCAGCGACGCCGCGUGAGGGAUGACGGCCUUCGGGUUGUAAACCUCUUUCAGCAGGGACGAAGCGCAAGUGACGGUACCUGCAGAAGAAGCACCGGCUAACUACGUGCCAGCAGCCGCGGUAAUACGUAGGGUGCAAGCGUUGUCCGGAAUUACUGGGCGUAAAGAGUUCGUAGGCGGUUUGUCGCGUCGUUUGUGAAAACCAGCAGCUCAACUGCUGGCUUGCAGGCGAUACGGGCAGACUUGAGUACUGCAGGGGAGACUGGAAUUCCUGGUGUAGCUGUGAAAUGCGCAGAUAUCAGGAGGAACACCGGUGGCGAAGGCGGGUCUCUGGGUAGUAACUGACGCUGAGGAACGAAAGCGUGGGUAGCGAACAGG
RNAcentral lists this ribosomal RNA (409 nucleotides) under bacterium. Its description in RNAcentral is "partial 16S ribosomal RNA". It matches the Rfam family "Bacterial small subunit ribosomal RNA", at positions 355 to 776 of the family's 1533-position model. The record is from RNAcentral.